AACGCUAGCUACAGGCUUAACACAUGCAAGUCGAGGGGCAGCAUGAACUUAGCUUGCUAAGUUUGAUGGCGACCGGCGCACGGGUGAGUAACACGUAUCCAACCUGCCGAUGACUCGGGGAUAGCCUUUCGAAAGAAAGAUUAAUACCCGAUGGCAUAGUUCUUCCGCAUGGUGGAACUAUUAAAGAAUUUCGGUCAUCGAUGGGGAUGCGUUCCAUUAGGUUGUUGGCGGGGUAACGGCCCACCAAGCCUUCGAUGGAUAGGGGUUCUGAGAGGAAGGUCCCCCACAUUGGAACUGAGACACGGUCCAAACUCCUACGGGAGGCAGCAGUGAGGAAUAUUGGUCAAUGGACGAGAGUCUGAACCAGCCAAGUAGCGUGAAGGAUGACUGCCCCUAUGGGUUGUAAACUUCUUUUAUACGGGAAUAAAGUGAGGCACGUGUGCCUUUUUGUAUGUACCGUAUGAAUAAGGAUCGGCUAACUCCGUGCCAGCAGCCGCGGUAAUACGGAGGAUCCGAGCGUUAUCCGGAUUUAUUGGGUUUAAAGGGAGCGUAGGCGGACGCUUAAGUCAGUUGUGAAAGUUUGCGGCUCAACCGUAAAAUUGCAGUUGAUACUGGGUGUCUUGAGUACAGUAGAGGCAGGCGGAAUUCGUGGUGUAGCGGUGAAAUGCUUAGAUAUCACGAAGAACUCCGAUUG
This 694-nucleotide ribosomal RNA is filed under the name uncultured bacterium. RNAcentral describes it as "bacterial SSU rRNA". It matches the Rfam family "Bacterial small subunit ribosomal RNA", at positions 32 to 715 of the family's 1533-position model. The record is from RNAcentral.